UGAUAAUACCUACAAGGAUCAGUAUAGUCUUCCUGGUAUAAAUACUAUUAUGGCUAAGGUUGGUCAUAGUCGUAUUUAUUCGAAGUUUGGAAUUUUGCAAAGAGAUUCCUAUUCCAGGAUAUUACGGUCGUGAUCCUUCUCCUGCAUAUGAGGGCCUCAGUGGAAUAUGAAUAUUCAGACCCUGUGAUGAGCAUCAUCUCGUCGGGAUCUGUAUAACACCUCAGCGGGUGCUAUAUUUGCUCGCUCAGCCAUUGGGAAAGGUCUCCUGGCAUCUUUGACCAUAGCUUUUUAAUAUUCAUUGGUGUAUGUCCUGUAGCAGGUGGAUAACCUGGAGGACCCAUCAUUGAGUCAGUUGGAGGGUUGUAAUUGGAGACUGCCGAUGGCAUUGAGUCUUCGUUCUCCAUUUGGGCUGACCUUUGAAUAAAGUGGACUAAGUAACCGGCAAAAUUGGCAAGGGAUUGAGGUUGUUGGUCUUCCUUGUAAUCUCUACAGUGCUCUUCGUGCUCUUCGUUUGCCCUUUGUUCGUAGUUCCUUUUCAUCUUUUUCCAGUUGUAUGCUCAGUCUGAGGUCUCCUGGCAUCUUUGACCAUAGCUUUUCAGACAAUUCCUCUCCAACACAUGGCUCUGAUGAAGUUACAUCCGAUAAUCAUCUGGAUCCUGCCUCCAAGAUGGAACGGAAAGAGAAGCUCAUGUGGACGCAAUGGCGGAUGAAGUACACAGAUGAGUUCGCUAAUUUAGUCACGAUUGGCGAAGGAAAUGAAGGAUGAUUUGUUCUUCUCUCUGCAAAGCUGGAUAAGUUCUUCGAUUUGGUGCAGGUCGGCUAGAACCUCCAUAUCUUCCAGUACCUCCUCUGUUGGCCAUUCUGAGUCUACAACGCAGGUUGUCGCUCCAGUAUCGCCUGCUCCUACAUGGAUUCCAUGCUGAAAAGCAAGACCUGAUCGAGGGAUCAUAAUAAUGAUCUGCUGUGAAAUCUAGGUCCAAAAGAAAAGCCAAAGGAGUCAAGAGGGCUCAUAUGCAGGAGAAGGAUCACGACCCCAGAUGAGAAGUCUCAUGCGAAACACAUCCAGUCCAUGUUGGAAAUCUACCAGAGGAAUGGGCUUUUGUAGAAACAAUCGCUCAAGGAGAAAUAAAGGAACGACCAUUCAUCCAGGAAGAAAGUUAAAUUAUUCUUGCUAUUGCUAUAAUCGAAAUCCGUAAAAAUCAUUUAUGAUUAAAUUACCAGUACCAGUUAGAGAUUGUUCCUAAAUAUGUAUAUUUUUUUGAUUUUUUAUGAAAAAAUAUACAAAAAAAAA
This is a long non-coding RNA of Camellia sinensis, 1291 nucleotides long. RefSeq lists it as uncharacterized. The record is from RefSeq and is a predicted model, not a curated record. NCBI's taxonomy places the organism in Eukaryota, Viridiplantae, Streptophyta, Magnoliopsida, Ericales, Theaceae.